Molecule: ribosomal RNA, 460 nt
Filed under: uncultured bacterium
Lineage: Bacteria
Description: partial 16S ribosomal RNA
Rfam family: Bacterial small subunit ribosomal RNA
Source: RNAcentral
CCUACGGGGGGCUGCAGUGAGGAAUAUUGGUCAAUGGACGAGAGUCUGAACCAGCCAAGUAGCGUGAAGGAUGACUGCCCUAUGGGUUGUAAACUUCUUUUAUAUGGGAAUAAAAUGUUCCACGUGUGGGAUUUUGUAUGUACCAUAUGAAUAAGGAUCGGCUAACUCCGUGCCAGCAGCCGCGGUAAUACGGAGGAUCCGAGCGUUAUCCGGAUUUAUUGGGUUUAAAGGGAGCGUAGAUGGAUUGUUAAGUCAGUUGUGAAAGUUUGCGGCUCAACCGUAAAAUUGCAGUUGAAACUGGCAGUCUUGAGUACAGUAGAGGUGGGCGGAAUUCGUGGUGUAGCGGUGAAAUGCUUAGAGAUCACGAAGAACUCCGAUUGCGAAGGCAGUUCACUGGACUGCAACUGACACUGAGGCUCGAAAGUGUGGGUAUCAAACAGGAUUAGAUACCCCUGUAGUC